GGGGGUGUAGCUCAGUUGGUAGAGUGCUUGCCUCCCAUGCACAAGGCCCUGGGUUCAAUCCCCAGCAUCACAA
Molecule: transfer RNA, 73 nt
Filed under: Ictidomys tridecemlineatus (thirteen-lined ground squirrel)
Lineage: Eukaryota; Metazoa; Chordata; Mammalia; Rodentia; Sciuridae
Also listed under: 1 other name
Description: Spermophilus tridecemlineatus (thirteen-lined ground squirrel) tRNA
Rfam family: tRNA
About the family: Transfer RNA (tRNA) molecules are approximately 80 nucleotides in length. Their secondary structure includes four short double-helical elements and three loops (D, anti-codon, and T loops).
Source: Rfam by way of RNAcentral